CCUACGGGGGGCAGCAGUAGGGAAUCUUCCACAAUGGACGAAAGCCUGAUGGAGCAACGCCGCGUGAGUGAAGAAGGGUUUAGGCUCGUAAAGCUCUGUUGGUAGAGAAGAAAGAUAGAGGUAGUAACUGGCCUGUAUUUGACGGUAAUUACUUAGAAAGUCACGGCUAACUACGUGCCAGCAGCCGCGGUAAUACGGAGGUGGCAAGCGUUGUCCGGAUUUAUUGGGCGUAAAGCGAGUGCAGGCGGUUCAAUAAGUCUGAUGUGAAAGCCUUCGGCUCAACCGGAGAAUUGCAUCUGAAACUGUUGAACUUGAGUGCAGAAGAGGAGAGUGGAACUCCAUGUGUAGCGGUGAAAUGCGUAGAUAUCUGGAAGAACACCAGUGGCGAAGGCGGCUCUCUGGUCUGCAACUGACGCUGAGGCUCGAAAGCGUGGGUAGCGAACAGGAUUAGAUACCCGUGUAGUC
This 465-nucleotide ribosomal RNA is filed under the name uncultured bacterium. RNAcentral's name for it is "partial 16S ribosomal RNA". It matches the Rfam family "Bacterial small subunit ribosomal RNA", at positions 338 to 795 of the family's 1533-position model. The record is from RNAcentral.